AUUUUUAAUUUAUAUAUACAAACAUGAAUAAGGAUCAAGAUUCUCCUAUUCAUCACUUGUUUUAUUCAUUACUAUUUUUUAAUAUUUCCUACACCGCAGCACAAAUUGAAGACACAGUCUCUGUUCUAGAACUUGACGAUAGUUACGUGGUUUUUUUGUUUUGUAUGAUGUGCUUCUGGCUUAUUCUAAACUCAGGCUUGAAUCCAAACACUGCCCUGUCAUAGCAUUUGGCAAGAAUUGAUUUCCGUCCUCGCAAGAAGAGAAAGAGAAAGAGGGUUUGGUGCUACAAGUAACUGUGAUCUUCAAUUCGUAUGAGAGACAGGGUCAGAAGAAACAACAUAUUUGAGAUCUUUCGCUUUGUUUCGCAUCAGGUACUGUCUUUUUUGUUUUCAGUGGACCCUCCAAAAUGUCAACUUCAUCUCUGUAUUCUUAUUCCAUCUUACACUUUUCCAGUUUCCAUUCUCUCUGUAAUUCCCUCUUAUUCUGUUCUGUUCCCGCAAUUUCUUUUCCUUUUAUGAAAACUCGUAACUUUAACUUUCAGCAUUAGCAUGUUCCAGCUAAUUAAACUUCUUGAAUCUGAAUUCACCCGUCAUUUUUGUGGGGAAUGCAAAAGGGGGAAUUAAUUCAGUGAAAUCAACACAACUGAACAAAAUUUCAAGAUUGAUGAGAAUUUCAACUUACCAAACUAAAUUGGCCAAGAAAGAAUCGUCCAUCAUCAAAUUUACCAAGAGCCUUCUCCAAGUAAUCAAAAGCAGCACCUGAUUCAAAUUGAUGAUCUCCUUUAUAUGAAGAGUAUACGCCACUGGUGAACGUAUCAACAUGGGAUAUCAUUUGCUCUCCAAAUUCCCUCUUGGCAGGAUCCUAAAAUUUUCCACUCAUCAAGAGUCAUGACUUCCCUUUCAAAUUACACAGAUAACUAUAUAAAAUUGAUGUAUAUUUCUUACACUUGGAAAUAGAGAUGGCCCUUCAAAGUUGGCAUCUAUAUAUCUGAUCAAAUCAAGACUUUCUCCUAAAACCUUGCCAUUGUGCUCCAACGAUGGCACCUAUAACAUAAGAAGAACGUGUUACGAUCCAUCAAUCGAAUCAAAUAGUUUUCUCCAGUU
This is a long non-coding RNA of Vigna radiata var. radiata (mung bean), 1103 nucleotides long. RefSeq lists it as uncharacterized. The transcript has 3 exons. NCBI's taxonomy places the organism in Eukaryota, Viridiplantae, Streptophyta, Magnoliopsida, Fabales, Fabaceae. The record is from RefSeq and is a predicted model, not a curated record.